RNAcentral lists this ribosomal RNA (497 nucleotides) under uncultured bacterium. Its description in RNAcentral is "partial 16S ribosomal RNA". It matches the Rfam family "Bacterial small subunit ribosomal RNA", at positions 28 to 507 of the family's 1533-position model. The record is from RNAcentral.
GAUGAACGCUGGCGGCGUGCCUAAUACAUGCAAGUCGAGCGAACAGACGAGGAGCUUGCUCCUCUGACGUUAGCGGCGGACGGGUGAGUAACACGUGGAUAACCUACCUAUCAGACUGGGAUAUCUUCGGGAAACCGGAGCUAAUACCGGAUAAUAUAUUGAACCGCAUGGUUCAAUAGUGAAAGACGGUUUUGCUGUCACUUAUAGAUGGAUCCGCGCCGCAUUAGCUAGUUGGUAAGGUAACGGCUUACCAAGGCAACGAUGCGUAGCCGACCUGCGAGGGUGAUCGGCCACACUGGAACUGAGACACGGUCCAGACGCCUACGGGAGGCAGCAGUAGGGAAUCUUCCGCAGUGGGCGAAAGCCUGACGGAGCAACGCCGCGUGAGUGAUGAAGGUCUUCGGAUCGUAAAACUCUGUUAUUAGGGAAGAACAAAUGUGUAAGUAACUAUGCACGUCUUGACGGUACCUAAUCAGAAAGCCACGGCUAACUACGUG